Long non-coding RNA from Erpetoichthys calabaricus (reedfish), 974 nucleotides. RefSeq lists it as uncharacterized. Lineage: Eukaryota; Metazoa; Chordata; Cladistia; Polypteriformes; Polypteridae. The record is from RefSeq and is a predicted model, not a curated record. The transcript is spliced from 4 exons.
GUGCUAGUAGAACUGGCUCAAGUAGCAAACAAUCACUGAAUGGAUUUGUGGCCUGCUGCCUUUUACAAGAAAUGUAAAAUUAUAAUGUUUUGUUUUACAGAUCAGUGUACCUUGCAGAUGUGGUUGGUGGGAGGUUGAUUCCCAACAGAAUGGUGGUUGUAUGAUUCCUAGAGUGUGAGGCUACACUUCAGGGGAUAGUAGGAAAAGUUCAAGAUGCCAUUGGCAAUUACAACCCCAUCAUUUUGACAGAUGCACAGGGCAAUGCAAUUCUGGAGUCUGAAGGCACAACAGGGUCACAGUACUGGAAACAAAAUGCACGAAAAGUUCUUGUUGUACCUGAACAAGACUUUAAUAGCCUCCAGGGAACAAAGAGGAGGAAACUGAGCAGCCGUAAAUAUGAUGACAGUGCCGGUUUGGGAGAAGUCAGUGUCAAAAUAGAACAGUUGGUAAUGGCAUCUCAAAGUCUACCAGCUGUUACAGCAGCAAUCAGAGAGGUCACUGAUCUUGCAGUUACCCAGAGAGUCAUACUCACUGCUCCCAAACUGCAGACCAACAAGGAGGGAUUUAGCUGUGUUGUUUGUAUGAACAUCAUUGAGGAACCAGUGCUCUCACGGUGCUGCAGAAGCAUUAUUGGCUGCAAGACAUGUGUGGAGCAGUGGCUAGAGACAUCUCAGCACUGUGCAAAAUGCAGGGAGGCCAACAACAGUGUUAUAGAAGUUACUGGUCUAACAGCUGCAUUUUCUGUGUUGAAAUAAUUUUUUACAGAGGAGUAAUGUGGUGUUUACACACACAAAGGUUUAAAUUUACAGUCAGUUGAUCGUUUCCUGUCUGUUCUGUACAGUUUUCAGAUGCAGCAGUUCAUACAUUUCUCUGAGUUACGUUUAUGAGAAAGAGCAGAGCUUCUUUGUAUGGUGUAAAGUCACCAUUUACGGCUCUGAAAAACAAAUGUGAAAUGUCAGAAUAUUUUUCUGCAA